GAAAUAAAUAAAGUUAAAGCUUCUAACUUUAAAUCUUAAUGAAUAAAAUUCAUUAUUAUUUCA
RNAcentral lists this transfer RNA (63 nucleotides) under Antodynerus aff. limbatus GX. Its description in RNAcentral is "tRNA-Ser". The record is from RNAcentral. Lineage: Eukaryota; Metazoa; Arthropoda; Insecta; Hymenoptera; Vespidae. RNAcentral also lists the same sequence under 2 other names.